AAGACAAGACCCAGCACGACGUACACAGCUAGCAGCUGCAAGCCCUCGAACCAGGUGGAUUCGCCUUCCUGCGUCACUUGGUUGGCGAUAAGGAUCGCCAUGAAGAUUGCCCCGAGCUCGAGUCCGUUGAACACGAGCGACAUCGGGAACGGUCCGAUGAAGAACGCAG
Molecule: unclassified non-coding RNA, 169 nt
Filed under: fungal sp.
Lineage: Eukaryota; Fungi
Description: partial internal transcribed spacer region
Source: RNAcentral